CCUACGGGAGGCAGCAGUGGGGAAUAUUGCACAAUGGGCGAAAGCCUGAUGCAGCAACGCCGCGUGAAGGAUGAAGGGUUUCGGCUCGUAAACUUCUAUCAAUAGGGAAGAAACAAAUGACGGUACCUAAAUAAGAAGCCCCGGCUAACUACGUGCCAGCAGCCGCGGUAAUACGUAGGGGGCAAGCGUUAUCCGGAAUUACUGGGUGUAAAGGGAGCGUAGGCGGCAUGGUAAGCCAGAUGUGAAAGCCUUGGGCUUAACCCGAGGAUUGCAUUUGGAACUAUCAAGCUAGAGUACAGGAGAGGAAAGCGGAAUUCCUAGUGUAGCGGUGAAAUGCGUAGAUAUUAGGAAGAACACCAGUGGCGAAGGCGGCUUUCUGGACUGAAACUGACGCUGAGGCUCGAAAGCGUGGGGAGCAAACAGG
RNAcentral lists this ribosomal RNA (424 nucleotides) under uncultured Prevotella sp. Its description in RNAcentral is "bacterial SSU rRNA". It matches the Rfam family "Bacterial small subunit ribosomal RNA", at positions 338 to 776 of the family's 1533-position model. The record is from RNAcentral. Lineage: Bacteria; Pseudomonadati; Bacteroidota; Bacteroidia; Bacteroidales; Prevotellaceae.